UGCUCAAAGCUACUUUUAAGCUGUCUGAAGCCUUGACGUGGUAAAAGAAGUAGAACCCACACAGGGUGAAAGUUUUAGACCCCAGCUUGUGCUCUAUCUGUCAAAAGAUGAAGAUCCCACAAUGGGUUGAUCAAGCUUCUACUAGCCACAAGCUAUUAAAAGGCAAAACUAGGAAAUUUCCAUUUUCCAGCUAAGAAACCAUUCCCUGAAAACCAAGAUCCAAGAAUGCCAUGGAUCUAUCUGGACUUUGUAUGUACGCUGCAAUGCAGUGAUAAUAAUUCCACAGAGAGAGAGAGAGAGA
This 301-nucleotide unclassified non-coding RNA is filed under the name Hevea brasiliensis (rubber tree). Lineage: Eukaryota; Viridiplantae; Streptophyta; Magnoliopsida; Malpighiales; Euphorbiaceae. The record is from RNAcentral.